GCUGUGGAGUUUGGUGUUCAUCUGGGUUAUAACAACCCAAAAUGUAGCCGUGCAGACAACAGAUCUCUGCAACACAAAGAACAUAAAUCUGACCGGGAAGACUGCAUCUCAGUCUUCCGAUUAUUUAGCAAUUGGCAGUCCAUACAUUGCUAACAGAGCCUUUGAUGGGGAUCGCUCCAUAUGUUCUCACACCGAGUUGCAGACUAACCCUUGGUGGAGAAUUGACCUGCAGGGGAUAUACAGCAUUUCCUGUAUCUCUGUCUAUAAUACGAACGGUUUAAAUACCAAUAUAUCAG
Cyprinodon variegatus (sheepshead minnow) is the source of this 296-nucleotide long non-coding RNA. RefSeq lists it as uncharacterized. The transcript has 3 exons. The record is from RefSeq and is a predicted model, not a curated record. Lineage: Eukaryota; Metazoa; Chordata; Actinopteri; Cyprinodontiformes; Cyprinodontidae.